RNAcentral lists this unclassified non-coding RNA (221 nucleotides) under uncultured Thelephora. RNAcentral describes it as "sequence contains ITS2". Lineage: Eukaryota; Fungi; Basidiomycota; Agaricomycetes; Thelephorales; Thelephoraceae. The record is from RNAcentral.
ACACCUCAACUCUCCACGGUUUUCCCGUGGUGAGCUUGGACUUUGGAGGUUUGCUGGCCCCAGGGGUCUGCUCCUCUUAAAUGAAUCAGCUUGCCAGUGUUUGGUGGCGUCACAGGUGUGAUAAAUAUCUACGCUUGCCGCCGUCCGCCAUGCAACCUUCAGCGAUGGAGGUUCGCUGGAGCUUAAAAACGUCUCUCCUCAGCGAAGACAGCUUUUUUAAC